Cyprinus carpio carpio is the source of this 302-nucleotide long non-coding RNA. The record is from Ensembl. Lineage: Eukaryota; Metazoa; Chordata; Actinopteri; Cypriniformes; Cyprinidae.
GCCGAAAAGAAAAGUUUCAUGAUAUUACUCGCACUCGACGUGGAAAUGAGCCUGGCGAGACCAGUGCUUUAUUGGGUGUCUGGACCGUCUUUUGUUCCUCAAAUGUGAUAUUUUCAGCAGUUGAUCUGAACAGAGCAGGACCGGAAUCGAGGGGCAGAGAGGAGAGAAAGCGAUCGGACAUGCCAUGCCCUGGAGCCAAGGACCAUGAUGCAACCGUGUUUAAGCUCGAAUAUUCCCUCCCUCCAGACGUUUCUGAUGGACAUUUCAGCACAGAGAAGUGACAGGGAAGAAGCGUUGCAAAA